CCUACGGGUGGCAGCAGUGAGGAAUAUUGGUCAAUGGGCGGAAGCCUGAACCAGCCAAGUAGCGUGCAGGAUGACGGCCCUACGGGUUGUAAACUGCUUUUAUACGGGAAUAACGCGCCUUACGUGUAGGGCUUUGCAUGUACCGUAUGAAUAAGGACCGGCUAAUUCCGUGCCAGCAGCCGCGGUAAUACGGAAGGUCCGGGCGUUAUCCGGAUUUAUUGGGUUUAAAGGGAGCGUAGGGCGGUUGUCAAGUGUGUUGUGAAAUUUUGGGGCUCAACCCGGGCCUUGCAGUGGAUACUGGCGGGCUUGAGUCCGCGGGAGGCAGGCGGAAUGCGUGGUGUAGCGGUGAAAUGCUUAGAUAUGACGAAGAACCCCGAUUGCGAAGGCAGCUUGCUGCAGCGGAACUGACGCUGAUGCUCGAAAGCGCGGGUAUCGAACAGGAUUAGAUACCCGGGUAGUC
This 460-nucleotide ribosomal RNA is filed under the name uncultured bacterium. RNAcentral describes it as "partial 16S ribosomal RNA". It matches the Rfam family "Bacterial small subunit ribosomal RNA", at positions 338 to 795 of the family's 1533-position model. The record is from RNAcentral.